UGCCAGUACAUUUGCUCUCUGUGGACCCAAUUUUCUGACAUUGAGUCAUUGAGUAUAAAAUAACUUACAAUAUCUUUCUUUUUCACUUUCAGUGAAGUACUUUUCCCACACAAGCGCUACUUCUGUGGAGAAAGAUGUCAGAGAGCACUGUAAACCUGUAGAAUUUACUUUUCAUGUUCUAUCACCUUCAGCAGAGAUGGGAAUUUAGAGCCAUGUUUUGUUCCUUAGCCAGGUGUUCCAGUAAGGGUGCUUCUGGUGUAGAGAAUGCCCCUCCUUUCUCUCCAGAUACGUGGGAUUUAGCUAGAGAAUUGGUGGAGGUUUUUUUUUAAGAACACAAGUGAGAAUGAUAAGAAAAAAAGACCAAUCAUGGGCUGAGAAAACCUGGCAAAGAAGGGGAUCACCUUCAGAGAUCUUGGCAGGGCUUGGGUCUAUGCUCUUUGUUUAGCUUUGCCAAGGUUUGGGCAGUUAUGGGCAAGCCCAGAAGAUCUUUCCCUUUGUGCAGAAAGAAUGUCAGCCACCUCUUUAAACCCUUCAAGAAAUAUGGGUAUCACAGAGGAAGAGAACUACAAUACCAGGAACCUGAGUAUAUCUAUAAAGAAUACUUGUUAGAAACCUGUUGCUGCCUGUUCCGAGCUUCCCUUCCCCCUCCCCAAGACAAGCCAGGACUUGCCUCUGCCAUGUGCUCUGAACUCCUUCGUUCCAAGAGUGGGCAAAACCAAAUGUACCUCAAACUCUUGAGCAGUGUCUGACUGGCCGCUCACCCCGGGUCCGCCCCCAGUCCUCCCCUUUCCCCUUCUCCCAAUAAAAGAAGGGCCCCAGAGGGGGCCCCGCGCUCUUUGGCUUUGCAUCCCUUUUACGAACGUCUGUGUGCUUCUGUCUCUGUUUGAAAGCUUCUAAUUGCAGGAAUUAGGCAAACUGAAGACUAUAUUUCUCCCUCUUUGCUUCUACUGGUGGUAUCAGCUUUGCAGCUACCAUUUGCCGCUUUCAGAGCUACUGAAAUGCUGGAUUGCCCGUGCUACCUCUCUAGGCUGCCCGAGGCUUUCUAAGGCAUUGAACUAUGAGCCUAGCCAGUAAAAAGCUGUGAGAAUUCCACAGAAACCCCUUACUGUUUGUUUAGAAUAUAUGGAAAAAGCAAAAUUUAGGUGCCUAAUGUGGGCAUGAAUUGGAAUUUAGGUGUUUGAAUCCAAAACUGAAAAUUUUCAAACCCCUGUAUUACUUGCUUUAUCCUGCAACCUGAGGUGUCUUAGUACUUAGCCCUCCUCUUCAAAGUUUGUGUCUGAAUCUUCACUUUUUGAAUGUUUCCAGGUGCAUCCAAUUUUCCUCAAGGUUGAAUUUUCCAAGGAUAUGGGAGAAAAAAAAAGGCAAAUUAGAUGGUAGCAUGUAGGCAUUGAAGUACAAGGCAGUAAAAACAAUGGAGAUGUAACAACAGCAGCUCACAUGUCUAAGCAAUUAUGAGUCGACACACACCUUUAUUUAUUUACUAGCAAAGAUAAAAUGAAAACUAAAACUAUCCCAUAACUGAGCAUAGCCAAAAGCAUUGAUACAUGGACUGAGCUGCAAACUCUCUUGGUUGUACCACCUACAAAGGGGCUUGGGAUUCACAAACAAGUUUUCCCUGAAUCUAAGAUCCUGAAAGUUUGACUUUGGUCAAACCAUGGAUAUUUCUGUGCAAAAAUGAGGAUGGGGGAGGACAUUCUGUUUCUGCUGUUGAGACAGAGUGUCUCUGCAGCGGUGAAGGUUAGAUGAACACAGCCUAAGGAACAGUAAGCAAAGGAAACAGUGACAAAUUUUGGUCCAGGAAAGGUAGUGGUGGGAGCGCUACUUUUCAGUUCCCACUCCCAACACUGAAUAUAUUAUUUCUUUAGCUGCUGUUUAAUAUGAAAUGCUGACAUACUUGGACUAUUCUUCAUCCCAGACAGAUGAUGAACAAUAAGCUAGUAAAUUGUCACAUACCUUCUUAUGAUCACCUUCUGAUUUACUGGGCAAUGCAUUUUUAUCCCCGCAUUUCAGGCUGGUGCAGCUUCUGAAAAACAAAAAGGUGGGGGAAGGGGGGCAGAAAGCCCAGUUUCCAAGAUAUCCUGCAUCCUUCUGUUUCCAUAUCUCUUCAAGCAGAGAAGGAAAUUCCCCUGUGUGCUGGACAUGCUGGACAGGCAGCCUAGUCAAGGAGGCUUUUAUACUCAAAAGAGAUUUCCAUUCCUUCCACAUUCUACAAAGAGAAGGUUCUAGGAUGUGGAUUCUGAUGAAAAAGACCUAAGUGAAGAGACAGAUUAGAUGCAAAAAAUUAAUGCUGACAGUUUAUUAACUGGACACAUUUAGG
Long non-coding RNA from Corvus moneduloides (New Caledonian crow), 2317 nucleotides. The record is from Ensembl. NCBI's taxonomy places the organism in Eukaryota, Metazoa, Chordata, Aves, Passeriformes, Corvidae.